RNAcentral lists this ribosomal RNA (449 nucleotides) under uncultured bacterium. RNAcentral describes it as "partial 16S ribosomal RNA". It matches the Rfam family "Bacterial small subunit ribosomal RNA", at positions 338 to 795 of the family's 1533-position model. The record is from RNAcentral.
CCUACGGGUGGCUGCAGUGGGGAAUUUUGGACAAUGGGCGCAAGCCUGAUCCAGCCAUUCCGCGUGAGUGAAGAAGGCCUUCGGGUUGUAAGGCUCUUUCGCAAGGGAAGAAAACUUAUCCUCUAACAUAGGAUGAGGUUGACGGUACCUUGAUAAGAAGCACCGGCUAACUACGUGCCAGCAGCCGCGGUAAUACGUAGGGUGCGAGCGUUAAUAGGGAUUACUGGGCGUAAAGCGUAAGUCGGCUGUUAAAUCCCCGGGCUCAACUUGGGAAGUGCGUUUGAAACUACAAGACUAGAGUAGGUCAGAGGGGGGUAGAAUUCCACGUGUAGCAGUGAAAUGCGUAGAGAUGUGGAGGAAUAUCAAUGGCGAAGGCAGCCCCCUGGGAUCAUAUUGACGCUCAUGCACGAAAGCGUGGGGAGCAAACAGGAUUAGAUACCCGUGUAGUC